CUUACCAAGGCUAUGAUGUUUAGGGGUCCUGAGAGGGUGGUCCCCCACACUGGUACUGAGACACGGACCAGACUCCUACGGGAGGCAGCAGUGAGGAAUAUUGGUCAAUGGGCGCAAGCCUGAACCAGCCAUCCCGCGUGCAGGAAGACGGCCCUAUGGGUUGUAAACUGCUUUUCCAGGGAGAGAAACUUACGCACGUGUUGCGUGACUGACGGUACCCUGGGAAUAAGCAUCGGCUAACUCCGUGCCAGCAGCCGCGGUAAUACGGAGGAUGCAAGCGUUAUCCGGAUUCAUUGGGUUUAAAGGGUGCGUAGGCGGGCUAUUAAGUCAGUGGUGAAAUCCUGCAGCUUAACUGCAGAACUGCCGUUGAUACUGAUAGUCUUGAGUUUGGUUAAGGUAGGCGGAAUGUGUAAUGUAGCGGUGAAAUGCUUAGAUAUUACACAGAACACCAAUUGCGUAGGCAGCUUACUGAGCCGACACUGACGCUGAGGCACGAAAGCGUGGGGAUCAAACAGGAUUAGAUACCCUGGUAGUCCACGCCGUAAACGAUGAUUACUCGCUGUUGGCGAUACACUGUCAGCGGCUAAGCAAAAGC
Molecule: ribosomal RNA, 595 nt
Filed under: uncultured bacterium
Lineage: Bacteria
Description: bacterial SSU rRNA
Rfam family: Bacterial small subunit ribosomal RNA
Source: RNAcentral